AGGCACUUCUUUCUUCUUCCUUUUAAAAAAUCAACAAAGAAGGCCUUUGAAGACUUGAAUGUAAAUCUGUUCUGUAGUGAAUUGAAGAGACAGAGAUGAAGUGGACACAGUAUGUGAAGACAGAUCUUUCAAGAAGUUUGGCUGGAAAGGAAAAGAGAAAGCUCUGAGCAUCACAACUGAUAAAAGCAUAUUCCUGACUCAAGAGUACCCAAUCUCUAGGCUGACUAGUUGGACACAGAAAAGUGUAAGGGAUUAUAUCAUUUUCCACAACCCAACCGACAGAGCUCACAGUAUCUUCUAAACCACUGAAUCCCAGGCAGAAAAAAGCAUCUCUGUCAAUGGGCCAGAACUGUGUAACCAGCCGUAGAGCACAGCCUCUCUUUAAAGGAGUCAAGCAACUCACCAAUGUCUUCCUCUUCCACCUCCGCCAAGCCCACUUGCCUGGCUGCCUGUCAGAGACGGACGGGCCUCUGAGCCAUCAACCUAUGGAGGGUGGAAAAAACCACCCUACGAACACUUCAUCUGACCACAUUUCCCCACUUAUACCACAUCUCUACUGUCUUUCCUUUGCUCUUUCUCUCUUACCCUUCACCCUCCUUCCCUUGGCCGCUUUGCUGAUCACCCACGAGUCCUUCAACGAGUCCUGUAUAGUCCUCUCCUUCCCCAGCCUGACAGCGGCCGCAUAGCGUAUUAGAAACAGCACAGGCUUUGGACUAUAAAAGGGUAGGUUUGACUCUUAGCUCUGUAUUAAUGAGCUUUAUGACCUUGACACAUUAUUAUGAGACUUCUAGGUCUCAGUUUCCUCAUCUGUAAAUGGGGAAAAUAAGAUCUACUUUGUAGAAUUGUAGAAUUAAUAAUGAAGGUUUUAGUGUCUGACACAUUAGUGGUUCAAUAAAUAAUAACGAAUACAUAAAAAUCCCAUGUAAGGAAAGCCAGAAAGGUAUCUUUAUUGUUUGUUUUCUAUCCAUCUUCUAACCUGUGCUUCCUCACUUUAAAAAAUAAACAAUUCCAGGGGCACCUGAACUUAACUCGGUUAAGAGUCCAACUUUGGCACAGGUC
Suricata suricatta (meerkat) is the source of this 1059-nucleotide long non-coding RNA. RefSeq lists it as uncharacterized. NCBI's taxonomy places the organism in Eukaryota, Metazoa, Chordata, Mammalia, Carnivora, Herpestidae. The transcript is spliced from 5 exons. The record is from RefSeq and is a predicted model, not a curated record.